ACUCGUGAGAGCAUGCGCUUCAAUAUUCAUUAAGAAAAAGUUUAAAUAUGUAAACAAUAUGGCCGCCAUAUGCAAAUUAGUCCUUCCGGAUAUAUGCCCCAUUCACUUCAAGAGGUAAAUUUGGAGCACUGUUUCUCAGCAACCGUGCAACCUAGCAAGUUGAAACUUUGCAUGCAGAAUCUAUCAUACAGCCUCUAAAGGAUGUUCAAAGGGCAACUUAAUCAAUCAACAUGGCUGAACACCAUCAGCCAAUCAGCAUUCAGCAGACAUUUUGGCAGGCUGAAUGUUGCCCAAUCUGGAUGAUAUUUGGCAGUUAUGUUCAGGUGGAGACACUGUAGUGACCUGCAAAGUGCUGAAACAAUCCGCCCACUGGGGGGCGCUGUUCCAAAAAAACGAGUAUAUGUCAAUCAUGCUGUACUAUUUUGACAUCUAAUUGUUUUUGCCAUAUUUAGUACAGUGGCUCUGACAAAUUUCUCAAUACAACUAUGUUUAAAAAGUGCUUUGUUCAUUCAUAAUUGCUAAUUGUUUGAAAAUAGCUAUAUUGAAACUACUCUCUGGAUAUGUGGCCUAUCACCUCCAUUUCAGUCUUGCUGCACACUGUAGAGUCUCUAGGUAAAUGUUCAUUAAAAACAUUUGUGAAAAUUUCACAUACAAUAGUGUCCAGGCAUCAAGCAAUCUGUGCGUCCUUGGAAUUUCUAACCUAAAUUGCUGUAACUCUGCAGUAUUUGCUGUAAUCUCACAAUGUUAAAGACCUCUGUACAAUAUCACUCUGAUGAAGCGCCAUUUAAUACAGAACUAGAUUAAGAAUAACUUGACAUUACAUGUCAUAUCAGAACAUGCACUCCUUUGUGCCUCUUCUCAACAUUAAUAACAGGUGAAAGACUUUUGAUCAUUUUAAAUGUGACAGAAUGUCUCCAAUUGUGUUAGACCUUCUUACACAUCACCAUCCUAUGCUCUAGUAGGCACCAUUGUGCUAGUUGGUGCUUGAUGAAGCGCCAUUUAAUUCAGAACUAGAUUUAUAAUAACUUCGUAAUUACAUGUCAUAUCAGAACAUUCACUCCUUUGUGUUAAUUUAAACUUGUUUGGUCAAACAUUUCAGCUUGUUCUGCAAAGGUUCAAAGGUCAAUCUGAAUACCACUUUGUGAACAUUCUGGUUGAAGCCACCUGAUCAAUACCAAUAACAUGUAGACACCUUUUGACUAGUUCUAACUCACUUAAUGAAUAUCCUACAAAGUUCACUAGAUUUACAUGUGAAUUUAAGCACUGAUCAGGUUGAAAGGCCUCUGCUCAACAUUAAUAACAGGUGAAAAACUUGAUAAUUUCUAAAUGUGACAGGGCAUCUCCAAUCAUAUUAGACCUUCUUACACAUCACCAUUCAAUGCUCCAGUAGGCACCAUUGUGCAAGUUGGUGCUUGAACCCGAUGAUUGCCGCUUGCGGCUAUAUUUAUUAUUAUUAUUAUUCUUUUUCUCCUGAAAAAACAGUUGUGCAGCCUAAACCGUAAGUCAUAGAGAAAUGAAACUUGGUAGGUAGAUGUAGGAUCAGUGCAUCUCGGUGGACAACAAAAAUGGCACCGAUUGGUCACGUGGUGGCGCUAUAAACAAGGAAAAUCAUUUUUCACAAUUUUCUCAAUAACUCAAAAACCAUAAGACCUACAUUCAAAAUUCUUUUUUUGAUGGAUUCCUUGGGUCAAUACCAACAACUUUCCAAUUUGGACCAUGCACUUCCGUCUAUAUAGAUUUUGUGCUAAUUUGCAUAAUAUGCAAAACCUACUUUUGCAAACUAGUCCUAGGAAUUUUGACCAAUCCUGGCAUGUUUGGUAUCAAAACACUCGUGAGAGCAUGCGCUUCAAUAUUAAUUAAGAAAAAGUUGAAAUAUGUGAACAAUAUGGCCGCCAUAUGCAAAUUAGUCCUUCCGGAUAUAUGCCCCAUUCACUUCAAGAGGUAAAUUUGGAACACUGUUUCUCAGCAACCGUGCAACCUAGCAA
Astyanax mexicanus (Mexican tetra) is the source of this 1985-nucleotide long non-coding RNA. RefSeq lists it as uncharacterized. NCBI's taxonomy places the organism in Eukaryota, Metazoa, Chordata, Actinopteri, Characiformes, Acestrorhamphidae. The transcript is spliced from 3 exons. The record is from RefSeq and is a predicted model, not a curated record.